This 702-nucleotide ribosomal RNA is filed under the name uncultured bacterium. RNAcentral describes it as "bacterial SSU rRNA". It matches the Rfam family "Bacterial small subunit ribosomal RNA", at positions 54 to 745 of the family's 1533-position model. The record is from RNAcentral.
CAUGCAAGUCGAACGGAAACGAUGGAAGCUUGCUUCCAGGCGUCGAGUGGCGAACGGGUGAGUAAUGCUUGGGAAUCUGCCCAAUAGUGGGGAACAACUCGGGGAAACUCGGGCUAAUACCGCAUAAUCUCUUCGGAGGAAAGGGGGCCUCUACAUGUAAGCUCUCGCUAAUGGAUGAACCCAAGUCAGAUUAGCUUGUUGGUAAGGUAACGGCUUACCAAGGCUACGAUCUGUAGCUGGUCUGAGAGGAUGAUCAGCCACACUGGGACUGAGACACGGCCCAGACUCCUACGGGAGGCAGCAGUGGGGAAUAUUGCACAAUGGGCGAAAGCCUGAUGCAGCAAUGCCGCGUGUGUGAAGAAGGCUCUAGGGUUGUAAAGCACUUUCAAUGAGGAAGAAAAGUAUAAAGUUAAUAACUUUAUGCAUUGACUUAACUUAUACAAGAAGCACCGGCUAAUUCCGUGCCAGCAGCCGCGGUAAUACGGAAGGUGCAAGCGUUAAUCGGAAUUACUGGGCGUAAAGCGCGCGUAGGCUGUUAUCUAAGUCGAAUGUGAAAUCCUCGGGCUCAACCUGGGAACUGCAUCCGAAACUGGAUAACUAGAGUAUGGGAGAGGUAAGUAGAAUUUCCGGUGUAGCGGUGAAAUGCGUAGAUAUCGGAAGGAAUACCAGUGGCGAAGGCGGCUUACUGGACCAAUACUGACG